AGCGAACGCUGGCGGCAGGCCUAACACAUGCAAGUCGAACGAACCUUUCGGGGUUAGUGGCGGACGGGUGAGUAACACGUGGGAACGUGCCUUUAGGUUCGGAAUAACUCAGGGAAACUUGUGCUAAUACCGAAUGUGCCCUUCGGGGGAAAGAUUUAUCGCCUUUAGAGCGGCCCGCGUCUGAUUAGCUAGUUGGUUGAGGUAAUGGCUCACCAAGGCGACGAUCAGUAGCUGGUCUGAGAGGAUGAUCAGCCACAUUGGGACUGAGACACGGCCCAAACUCCUACGGAAGGGAGGAGUGGGGAAUCCUGCGGAAUGGGCGAAGGCCUGACGCAGCCAUGUGGCGUGAAUGAUGAAGGUCUUAGGAUUGUAAAAUUCUUUCACCGGGGACGAUAAUGACGGUACCCGGAGAAGAAGCACCGGCUAACUUCGUG
RNAcentral lists this ribosomal RNA (434 nucleotides) under uncultured bacterium. RNAcentral's name for it is "partial 16S ribosomal RNA". It matches the Rfam family "Bacterial small subunit ribosomal RNA", at positions 29 to 507 of the family's 1533-position model. The record is from RNAcentral.